GUGGGUAUAGCCGAGUGGUUAAGGCGUCAGGUUGUGGCCCUGAAGACCGUGGGUUCGACUCCCACUACCCACCCCA
Molecule: transfer RNA, 76 nt
Filed under: Dehalogenimonas etheniformans
Lineage: Bacteria; Bacillati; Chloroflexota; Dehalococcoidia; Dehalococcoidales; Dehalococcoidaceae
Description: Dehalogenimonas sp. GP tRNA-His
Rfam family: tRNA
About the family: Transfer RNA (tRNA) molecules are approximately 80 nucleotides in length. Their secondary structure includes four short double-helical elements and three loops (D, anti-codon, and T loops). Further hydrogen bonds mediate the characteristic L-shaped molecular structure. tRNAs have two regions of fundamental functional importance: the anti-codon, which is responsible for specific mRNA codon recognition, and the 3' end, to which the tRNAs corresponding amino acid is attached (by aminoacyl-tRNA synthetases). tRNAs cope with the degeneracy of the genetic code in two manners: having more than one tRNA (with a specific anti-codon) for a particular amino acid; and 'wobble' base-pairing, i.e. permitting non-standard base-pairing at the 3rd anti-codon position.
Source: RNAcentral